AUGACAGAAAUUCAAGGGAUGUUGGGAAGUGAAAUAUCUACAAGACUCACCAAGUAUAUUGAUCUUGAGGUGAGGACUCACCCCUCACUGGGAGAAAUAGUUAGGAAAGCAAUAUGUAAAAACAAAGUCAUGAAUCUGACAAGAAAUGUACUUAAGAGAAAAGACCAUGUGAGGACACAGUAAGAAGGAGGCCAUAUGCAAAGCAGAAAGGAAGACCUCACCAGAACCAAAAACCAACCCUGCUGGCACCCUCAUCUUGGACUUCUAGCCUUUCUCAGAACUGUGAGAAAAUAAAUUUCUGGUGUUUCAGUCACUCAGCCUGUGGUCAUUUGUUAUGCAACCCUAGCAGACAAACAGGGACCUAACUUAAGAACUGGUUAAAAAUGAGGCCAGUUAAGAAUUUGAUAUGCUAUGGCUGGGAAGGUUUGAUUUAUUCUAAAUGCAAUGGAAUGGAGCUGGGGAUAUAAAUUUGGGAUUUAUUGGCAGGUGAAAUAUAUUUUAAAAUACACUAAAAUUAAAUUUCCUCAGGACAGAAUGUAGAUAGAAAAGAAUCAAGAUUUUAUGACAAAAAUCCAAGUCACUCCAAUGUUAGAGUUCUCCCAAACAUUUAAAGAAGGCUUACGCUGAUUCUAUACAGCAUCUUCCAAAAAUUAUAAAUUCUUUACAGCAUCUUUCCAACUUAUUUUAU
Molecule: long non-coding RNA, 688 nt
Filed under: Callithrix jacchus (white-tufted-ear marmoset)
Lineage: Eukaryota; Metazoa; Chordata; Mammalia; Primates; Cebidae
Description: lncRNA (ENSCJAG00000070794.1)
Source: RNAcentral